This is a long non-coding RNA of Sapajus apella (tufted capuchin), 1592 nucleotides long. RefSeq lists it as uncharacterized. The record is from RefSeq and is a predicted model, not a curated record. The transcript has 2 exons. Lineage: Eukaryota; Metazoa; Chordata; Mammalia; Primates; Cebidae.
UCAGAGGCUGAGGCAGGAGAAUCACUUGAACCUGGAGGCAGAGGUUGCGGUGAGCAGAGGUUGUACCUCUGCACUCCAGCUUGGACAAUAGAGCGACUCUUUCUCUCAAAAUAAAAUAGGAUAAGAAUUAAUUAGCCUUUUUGAUCUGAUCGCUGCCAAUUUUUUUCUCAGGAUCUUUCUAUUAAAGUAGCUCUGUACCUACUAUGUUGAGGCUCCUUUUUCAUUUUUUUUCUUUUUUUUGAGACAGAGUCUCAGACUAGAGUACAGUGGUGUGAUCAUGGUUUACUGUCACCUCUGCCUCCUGGGUUCAAGUGAUGUUCCCGCCUCAAUCUGCCAAGAUGCUAGGACUACAGGCACAUGCCACCAUGCCUGGCUAAUUUUUUUGUGUUUUUCAUAGAGACGGGGUUUCGCCAUGGUGUCCAGGCUGGUCUUGAACUCCUGAGCUCAAGCAAUCCGCCACACUGGCCUCCCAAAUGUUGGGAUUACACCACACCCAGCCCCCUGUUUUUUUAAAUUUAUAUAUUUAAGAGUACAUUGGGGGUUGGAAAUAGUUUAGGUCAGCAGGGAUUAGCCAUUCCCUAAAUGUAAACUUCUUCACUGGUGCUGCACUUAGAGUUCCUAAGAUCCUUUCCAAAUUGAUGAAUCUGGAAGUUGAAGUUAUAUUUGUAUUCACACCACAAAAAAUUUCUGUCUGUGCCCUGUCUUCUUGGGUUUAUUUUAAACCAGAAAUUAAGACAUUGAUUUUCCUUUGUUAGAGUGAUUUCAGUAUUUUGAGUUAUUAAGACAGAAAAUGUGAGCCCAUGUUGGAAUUCUGGGUCAGCAGGUUAUUUACCUCUGUUCCGCAAUUGCUAUGGAAGUUAAAGUCUACUUGUUAUGUGACAUAGAAUUAAUGAGUAUUCUUUUUUGCUUUUACUCUUCUGAGCCCAAGAGCUUUCUUUUCAUAAUUUAUGUUGGAGGUGUUCUGGACUAUGUUAUUACUGCAGAAAGUUAGACUCCCAUUUCUUUUGAUAUCAAAUAUUCAGCCUCUUCCUCUCUGUCUUACGAAUACAUAUAAUAUGCCUUAGAUGCCAACUCAAUACAUUCUUACAUUCAGGGCUGUCCUUAAGGAAAUACCAUAGUGGCUUCCCUUGUGUAAGAAAACUGAGUGGAGGGGGUCAGCUGGAGCUUCCAUGCCUAUGUUGGGCUAGAAGCACCUCCCAUUCAUUUCCAGCCCUUUGCCACUCUGCAUAAUUAGUGUCCUUCGUUUAUUCAGAAGAAGCUAGAUCCCAGAUUAAGUGAGCACAUAGGCAUGCAUGUCAGAGAAAGUGUCGUGGGCUCUUAUGGAUAAAAUUUGAAAUGCAACCUAUUUUCAAUAGAAAAAAGCCUCUUACUCUCACAUAUCCCAGAAAAAUUUAGAUCUUAAAAUGCUUUUGAGACUUAAGAUGCUCACGUCUGUGGAGUAAAAAUGCUACCUGAUAUUUGUGGUGUAUGAAUUACCGAGAAACAAAAUUACUCAGCUAAUCAGGUGUCUCAUGCAUAAUAAACCAACCUAACAAAGGAAAGCUGCCUUUCAGAGGCAAGAAUAUAGAACAUAUGUAGUUUAUUAAGCUAUU